UACGUAGGGCGCAAGCGUUGUCCGGAAUUAUUGGGCGUAAAGAGCUCGUAGGCGGUUUGUCGCGUCUGCUGUGAAAACCUAAGGCUCAACCUUGGGCUUGCAGUGGGUACGGGCAGACUAGAGUGCGGUAGGGGUGACUGGAAUUCCUGGUGUAGCGGUGGAAUGCGCAGAUAUCAGGAGGAACACCGAUAGCGAAGGCAGCUCGCUGGGACGGUACUGACGCUGAGGCGCGAAAGCGUGGGGAGCGAACAGG
RNAcentral lists this ribosomal RNA (253 nucleotides) under uncultured bacterium. Its description in RNAcentral is "partial 16S ribosomal RNA". It matches the Rfam family "Bacterial small subunit ribosomal RNA", at positions 524 to 776 of the family's 1533-position model. The record is from RNAcentral.